GACGAACGCUGGCGGCGUGCUUAACACAUGCAAGUCGAACGGUGAAGCGCCUUCCUUUUUGGUGGGUGUGGAUGAGUGGCGAACGGGUGAGUAACACGUGAGUAACCUGCCCCCUUCUUCUGGAUAACCGCAUGAAAGUGUGGCUAAUACGGGAUAUUCUGGGUCUGUCGCAUGAUGGGUCUGGGAAAGAUAUUGUUUCGGUGGGGGAUGGGCUCGCGGCCUAUCAGCUUGUUGGUGGGGUGAUGGCCUACCAAGGCGGUGACGGGUAGCCGGCCUGAGAGGGUGGACGGUCACACUGGGAAGGAGACACGGCCCAGACUCCUACGGGAGGCAGCAGUGGGGAAUAUUGCACAAUGGGCGCAAGCCUGAUGCAGCGACGCCGCGUGAGGGAUGGAGGCCUGCGGGUUGUGAACCUCUUUCGCCAGUGAAGCAGGCCUGCCUCGUUUGUGGGUGGGUUGACGGUAGCUGGAUAAGAAGCGCCGGCUAACUACGUG
Molecule: ribosomal RNA, 494 nt
Filed under: uncultured bacterium
Lineage: Bacteria
Description: partial 16S ribosomal RNA
Rfam family: Bacterial small subunit ribosomal RNA
Source: RNAcentral